Molecule: RNase P RNA, 408 nt
Filed under: Alphaproteobacteria bacterium
Lineage: Bacteria; Pseudomonadati; Pseudomonadota; Alphaproteobacteria
Description: RNase P RNA component class A
Rfam family: Bacterial RNase P class A
About the family: Ribonuclease P (RNase P) is a ubiquitous endoribonuclease, found in archaea, bacteria and eukarya as well as chloroplasts and mitochondria.
Source: RNAcentral
UCAGACGGCCGGGCGGUCGCCGCUCGCGUCCUUGCGGCGCGGGGGGAGGAAAGUCCGGGCUCCACGGCGAGAUGGCGGCGGGUAACGCCCGCCGGGGGCGACCCCAGGGAUAGCGCCACAGAAAGCAAACCGCCUGGGUCUCUUCGAGGCCCCGGUAAGGGUGAAAGGGUGGGGUAAGAGCCCACCGCGGACCGGGCAACCGGGACGGCAUGGCAAGCCCCGCCAGGAGCAAGACCGAAUAGGGGCGUCGCGUCUUUGGGUUCACGCCCAGGGACGGGCCUCGCCGGCCCAGACGCCCGGGUUGGUUGCAGGAGCCGUCCGGCGACGGGCGGCCUAGAGGAAUGACCGUCGCGUCCGCGCCUCACCGCGCGGGCGUUACAGAACCCGGCUUACAGGCCGUCUGAUCCC